GGCCCGUUCGUCUAUCGGCUAGGACAUCAGAUUCUCAUUCUGAUAAGGGGGGUUCGAUUCCCCCACGGGUCA
This 72-nucleotide transfer RNA is filed under the name Candidatus Levyibacteriota bacterium. RNAcentral's name for it is "tRNA-Glu". It matches the Rfam family "tRNA". Rfam says of the family: Transfer RNA (tRNA) molecules are approximately 80 nucleotides in length. Their secondary structure includes four short double-helical elements and three loops (D, anti-codon, and T loops). Lineage: Bacteria; Candidatus Levyibacteriota. The record is from RNAcentral.